Molecule: ribosomal RNA, 612 nt
Filed under: Chaetoceros contortus
Lineage: Eukaryota; Bacillariophyta; Thalassiosirophyceae; Chaetocerotales; Chaetocerotaceae
Description: partial large subunit ribosomal RNA
Rfam family: Eukaryotic large subunit ribosomal RNA
Source: RNAcentral
AGCAUAUAAUUAAGCGGAGGAAAAGAAACUAACUAGGAUUCCCUCAGUAAGGGCGACUGAAGCGGGAAGAGCUCACCGUGUGAAUCUGUACAGGCUUGUCCUGUGCCGAGUUGUGGUCUGUAGAAGUAUUGUCGGUCAGCGUUCCGGGCCAAGUCCCUUGGAAAAGGGCAGCUGAGAGGGUGAGACUCCCGUUCUUGCCUGGAAUGUGUGAUCAUGGCACAAGCUUUCAACGAGUCGAGUUGCUUGGGAUUGCAGCUCAAAGUGGGUGGUAAAUUCCAUCUAAAGCUAAAUAUUGGUGGGAGACCGAUAGCGUACAAGUACCGUGAGGGAAAGAUGCAAAGAACUUUGAAAAGAGAGUUAAAGAGUACCUGAAAUUGCUGAAAGGGAAGCGAAGGAAACCAGUGCUUAUUCUAUGCCAUUCUUCUCUUGUUGCUUGCGACAGGAGCGCUGUGGUUUAGUAUGGGCCAGCAUGGGUUUGACUCGGAAGAAAUGGCUUUGUGGGAGGUAGGUUCUUUUCGAACUGAAGACCACUUUGUUCUAUUCUGGGUUGGAUCGAGGCUAGUCACUUGUGCUCGUGAUGCUGGCGAAAUGGUUUUCUUUACCCCGUCUUGA